Molecule: long non-coding RNA, 823 nt
Organism: Chelonoidis abingdonii (Abingdon island giant tortoise)
Lineage: Eukaryota; Metazoa; Chordata; Testudines; Testudinidae
Source: RefSeq, a predicted model, not a curated record
CAGAUCUAUAGAUAACAAGUACAAUACAAAUAUUAUUAUGAAACAAAGUACAUUGACUCAAAGGAAGAAGGCAGAAUAUUUUCUGGCUAGCCAAAGGAAAAUACGAGCCAUCCAGCCAAACAUUUUCCAGAUCCAGGGGAGUAAAGCCAGGGUCCAGGAUUGACUAACUGGGUUGUGCACCAUAUGCUAUGCCUGUGGUCUUCUAGCAAGUGAGCCCUGAUCCCCUUCUGUCAAGGAGUGGUUUCUCUGGAGCAAAGUCAUUGCCAGGAGUCUACAUGAUCCACCUUCUGCCACUUCUUGAGCCUGUCUUAACUCCUUCUCUACCUUAAUGGUGGUUGGGGUCUAGACACCUUCUCGUAGGCCACACUUCCGGAGAGACCUGGUGGGAUUCUACUCUGUGGAAGAUCAUCCCAAUUGGGAUGGGAGGCUCUACAAGCCAUUUUUCCUCAUGGAGGUCUUGACCUGAGAAGCUCAACCUGGAUAACCACAACCAGAGGGGAUAAAAUGGAACACCUAGGAGAUUUCAGUAAACAGUAGAACCAUUCCAACUCAAUCUGUGCUAAAAUGUUUGGAAUGUGAGAGCCACCGAUGAUGCCUGUUGUCUGUGUGUCUGCCUGAAUCCUUUCUUUUCUCUGAGGAAAGCAGAGCCUGGGAACUAGGCCAAAUGCUUGCCACUUACCUUAAAUUGAUCAGCCACUUUGAGAUUAAAAUCACUGAAAACUGCAACAGCAUGAAAACAAAGCUCCCUUCAUAUUAAAUGCAACAUUGGAUUUGCUGUGAUCUUUUUUCCAUUUUACCCAGUGUCCACUUUUUCCAUUUCUGC